UACGUAGGGUGCAGGCGUUAAUCGGAAUCACUGGGCGUAAAGCGCACGUAGGCGGAUCUUUAAGUCAGGGGUGAAAUCCUGGAGCUCAACUCCAGAACUGCCUUUGAUACUGGGGAUCUCGAGUCCGGAAGAGGUGAGUGGAACUCCGAGUGUAGAGGUGAAAUUCGUAGAUAUUCGGAAGAACACCAGUGGCGAAGGCGGCUCACUGGUCCGGUACUGACGCUGAGGUGCGAAAGCGUGGGGAGCAAACAGG
Molecule: ribosomal RNA, 253 nt
Filed under: uncultured bacterium
Lineage: Bacteria
Description: partial 16S ribosomal RNA
Rfam family: Bacterial small subunit ribosomal RNA
Source: RNAcentral